AACCAUAGAAACCUGCGGAGUACCUGCGGAAGGAUCAUUACCGAGUUUACAACUCCCAAACCCCUGUGAACAUACCAAUUGUUGCCUCGGCGGAUCAGCCCGCUCCCGGUAAAACGGGACGGCCCGCCAGAGGACCCCUAAACUCUGUUUCUAUAUGUAACUUCUGAGUAAAACCAUAAAUAAACCAAAACUUUUAACAACGGAUCU
Molecule: unclassified non-coding RNA, 207 nt
Filed under: soil metagenome
Description: partial contains 5.8S ribosomal RNA, internal transcribed spacer 2, and large subunit ribosomal RNA
Source: RNAcentral